This is an RNA transcript of Nymphaea colorata (pocket water lily), 5267 nucleotides long. RefSeq lists it as uncharacterized. The transcript is spliced from 11 exons. NCBI's taxonomy places the organism in Eukaryota, Viridiplantae, Streptophyta, Magnoliopsida, Nymphaeales, Nymphaeaceae. The record is from RefSeq and is a predicted model, not a curated record.
CUAUUGUGGGUGCAAAUGAAGAACUGCCACACUGGCCGGCUACCUCUUGAAAUGUGCAUCGCAGGACCCGACAACAGAGUGAAAGAGAAAGAGGAGGGGAAGAGGGAGAGAUGCAGACAAGGGGCGGACAGUGUCGGCUGUGGUGGCCCAGCUACCUCGCAGCUCGACCGCCUCCAGAGUCCGAUUUCCUUCUCUUCGGCUGGUUCCUUCCUCCCUCUUCCGCCUCCAACGAUCUCGUCGACGUGGUCGUAGCCACCACGGCAUCUUUGCCCCAGCUUUCCCCAUCCCAACUCGAGGCAAAUCUUGAUAAUGUAAAUGGUGCAACGACUCCUUUACUGCAAGAGCACUCAAAGUUUUCGAUAUUGGGGCACUAUCUUGCUGAUUAUAGUAACGUUGUGCAAAAAACUACUGCCAGUGCAAGUGCCAACGAACAAAAUGUAACUGAGGAAGGAGCUUUUCUAGAAGCAACUCAAACACCAUCAGGAAGUGUAACUUCUGGAAGUAGCUGCCCUUAUUGUAAUCACAUAAUGGAAUCAUGUUUAGACCACUGCUUGCAGCAUUUUGUUGGACAAAGUUGUUGGAUCCAGUUAUGUAAUGAUAAUCAUAGGCUUUCCACUAAGAAGCUCAGCUGGGUCCCUCAGCUACAUCAUAUGCAUUGGAAUGGGUUAUUGCUUAUUUGUAACUUUCAUGUGAUCAUUUAUGAGCAACCAGUUUAUGGUGUCCAUCAUUAUUCGUUGAACUCAUGGUGUUUGUUAGAGCAAGCUAGGACUCAAGCAAGUGUUGCAUCCAAUAUUAAGAAGCCUAAGUGGGUCCAAAAGCUUGAACAAAAGGGUCCAUCUCGUACGUUGGACAUGGUCAUGUUGGCGAUCAAUAAUGCUUCAGCUGCAAAAUCCAUAUUUUCAAGGUGUAUGGCGCCUUGGAAUACAUCAAAGUAUAAUAACAUUACUGACAUGUUGGCAGCUUCUCUCUGGCAAGUGGUCGCUAUUUGUGCGGCUUCAACAUCAGCAUUUCUUUAUGUUAUUAUACAGAUCUGCCAUAAGAUCAUGAAAUAUUGGCUGUUAUCACCGUUAUGCAUGAUAUUAAGCAAACUGUUUAGGCAUACAUGGAAAAAUGUCCACAUCCGAAGUUGUCAACUUCUCUACUGGCCUAUCUACCUCCGAGGUAGUGGUAUCAGACACCAAGCAUGUGUGGAAUAUGCACACAAGGAUGCAGUACGUAAGCAUUCUAUGUGGUUGAGUAUCAUUCUUGAUGUUAUCCUGGGGAACAUCUUUGGGCUUUCUCUGUUGUGCCACCUUGAUGCAGUCUGCACAUGGUACUCAUUGUUGGUUCACAAUGUCACCAAUAAUAUAUUACGUUCAGGUUGUGUUUGGCUGAUGGGUGUCCCUGCUGGUUUCAAACUUAAUACUGAGCUGGCUGAAAUGCUUGGAGUGAUAUCACUGAAUGUAAUCCAAGUGUGGUCUACCUUCUGGUUUUUUAUGAGGCCUUUCCUCAGAUGUUUUGCUAUAGGACUUUCAAUUUCAGGCAUCCUUUUUGGUAUGACAGUAGCAGAAGCACUUUGCCUUGACAUGAUAUUUCUUGUGACAUCCCAUUUAUCCACACUAAAUUGGUUAAUAUCACUUUUGUAUACGCAACAGCUUCAAGCUUUGGCAUCUUUAUGGCGCAUUUUCAGGGGUCGAAAGUGGAAUCCUCUUCGGCUAAGAUUGGAUAGCUAUGAUUAUAGUGUGAAGGAGCAUGUUGUUGGAUCUCUUCUGUUUUCUCCGCUCCUGCUUCUGCUUCCAACAACUUCAGUUUUCUACAUUUUUUUCACAAUUAUUAAUUCAACCAUCACAUUUAUUUGUAUAUUUAUUGAAGUCUCAAUCUCAAUCCUGCAUGCAAUUCCAUGUCCUGAAAUUUUCUUUUGGAUUAUUCAACCAAGAAGAUUUCCCUCUGGAAUAUGGUUUGAAAUAUUGCCAGGCUUCACAAAUCAGCAGAUGCAGGGAAGACCAGAGAGGAUUGUUUCAGUUCUAAACGUCAGCUCUACUAGCUUAGGUCAAAUUAUCCAUCCACAUUACAGACGGAUUUUUUAUGGAGCUUCUUUCCCUUUUGGUGUUUCAUCAGUUUAUGAUCUUCUUAGUGGCACGAGAAUUCCAUCUACUAUAAAUACUGCAAUUCCUUCUACAAUGCCGUGGAUAUCUAUUGACGCUAAACAGAUUUGGUUGGUUGCUCACUCAUCAGUGCUUUCAUUAUGCGGAAAUGAGGGCUAACUUCUCAUCCUUUGUUUAAAUAGUUUCUAUUCCUGCAGAUCCAUGCCUAUCCUUUCCCCUCUGGAGUCGAUGUAUUGCUCUAUCUCUCUGAAGCUGAACAAUAUUGCCUUGUUACCAGCAUCAGUGACAAAGAAGAUGACCAGCCAUGGCACCCUUCUCACAGUUCUUCUCUCCCUCUUUCUAUUCUUCACACAUGGGCUGCUCACCCACCAUGAGGAGAAAGGUGUGAAGAUGAAGGGCAAGGCCUUCAUUCACUUUUGAUCAGGAAGGUUUUCUUUGGAGUAGGUGUUCAACUAUUUUCUUCAACCAUUUGGGUCAGUGGGUUGGCUUUUCAUAAAUUUAUAUACACCACAAAAGGUUUAUUUUGGAGUUCAACUAUUUUAUUCAAUCAUCUGGGUUGGCUUCUCAUCAAUUUAUAUACACCACAGAGAAAAUGAAUUAAUAGAAAUAAUCUGUUGCUGUAAACUAUUGUUUCUUUGUGGUUGGUCUGAUGGGGAGAGCAGUACAGAAUCAAUUAUAUAAUCUGAUCAAUAUGGGACAUGGUAGGUCGUUUUGCUAUAAAUGACACAAAAAAAAAUACAUGCAUGAUAAGCAGAUAAUAACCUUUUUCUACUAUGUCAUGUGGUCAUGCCUAAAAGGAUGCUGAGCCUGUGUGAUCACUUCAUGAAGCAAGAGUGAACAUGGGACAUGGUCAAAGCAGUCUCAGGUCUAGUGAACACAUCAUUUUACCUUUUUGUCCAAGUAUGGAUUCAAUCAACUUUGUCCAAGCCCAAUAUCAUUUUUGUUUAUUAAAGCUUUUAUUUAUUUUUUAAUGUUUCUUUCUUUAUUUGGUCAAUGGGGUUAUUCUUCAUCUUAUGAAUUGUGAAUGUUUUUCCGGUAUGUUGUUCAUCAAUAUAUAAAGUAUUUUGUUCACAAUAUGUUUCUUUUGUUAUCUAAUAGUCACACGCUCACCACCCAUGUAACAUAGCUUGCACAAAGUAUUUCAUAGUCAACCUUAGUUCAAAUCGCAAUGUGUUAAAUGGUAAGAUGUGCAGCACAGGUAGCAUAUUGUGCUCUGCUGAAAUAUCCAGUGAAUUGUGUAAUAUGCAGGUGAUGCUUUUAUUGAGAAAUUUUAAGAAUAUGUUUCAGAAAUCUUGAUUGUCAUGUGUGGGAAUUUUGGCGCUCUAUUCCAAUGUGUCAUUGUCCUAAGCAUAGGAAUGUCCAGAUUCCACAAGGGUAGGAAUCACUUCUAGUCUUCUACUGAAGUAUGUUGAGUAAUGGAUGCUUAGGAAGGAUGGCUGAUUUUUCUUUUUCUAAUUUUUCAGUUAGAUUUUUAGCCUUUUAAGUUCAUCAAUCAAUUUACGCCAAAUCGGCAAUACAGAGAGGAAUAUUUCACUGAUUGUUUUGGAAAGGCAGUAAGAGUAUUGAAAAGGGCAAAAUUCAUAUGGAGUUUUCUGAACCUGAUUUCAUGCUUACAGAGCCAGGCAUGGACCAUGCAGUCAUCACCUAUUUGACUUACAAAACUUAGACGGUUAGACCAGUUAAUCUGAUAAGGCUACUUGCAUUGCAUUCGCUUGGUAUACGUCAAACAUCAAUAUUUAGAGUCUGUAACAAAAAUUUGAAAAUCUCAUUUGCUAAAAAUUGAACUGCAGGGUACAUGACUUUCAACCAAGGUUGCAUUUUCUUCACUGUCGUCACAGCUGUUCACUAUUGCACUUGUGAGUUGUGAUUGUUGAACUCAGGGUUAUGCUUGUGAUUGACAGUAGCCUGUUAAGGGUCUUGGCUUUCAAAGAAGGUGCUUAAGAAUCACAAAUUGUACCUCAUUAUAUUACCUCUGAUUUUUUCUCUGCUUGGGAUGGAGAAUCAUAGGUAUCCACAACAGCUUAGCAAAACCAAUAUGCAAUUUGUUAUAUGAUAUUUGGCCUUGUAAUGUGCUUUCUUCAACCUGUAGGUCCUCAUAAAGUUUUCAAUAGGUUGUAAGUAUUGUAAAUGUGGCAGACAUCACAAGAUAAUUGUACCCAAAAUGCUUCAUUGAAUUGAAGUGUAGAUGGACCUGAGGUCCUGAAAUAAUUUAGUUAGGAGGAAUACAUGUUACUCUUAGGGUACAGGAAGCACAACAUGGAAUUUUUGUAAACUAGUGACGACUUUCUGAUAAGCCCAGUUCUGCAUGAAAGGAAGUUUCCUCUUAAUUAUUGUCUUUGAAAGAAUGCCAGAAAAGCUGACGUAUCUGUAGGUACUUGAAUGUAAUUUGUUAUUCCAUCCUUUAAUAUAGUUUUUGCAUUGAAGCUUCAUUCUUAUUGGAUUCAUAUCCUUCAAGAGCAUCUUGCUCCCAAUAUGAAUGGAUAAGCACAAAGCUUCUGUUUCAAUAAUUGUUUUUCUAGGAGUUUGGAAACAUGGUUACCUUUGUCAUGAAGAAGGGUCAAUUGAUUGCCUUAUUUUUUAUUAGGGGUAAAUCUUCCUCUUUCAAGAGUGGUCAGCGUUGGUCUUCUGAAUGUUAGAUGACAUUCCAUGGCCCAAUAGUCUGGAAAAGGCAUAUUAUUGCAAACAUGGAAGAACAGAGCUUGGCAGGUGCAAUUGGUACGAUAACUGAAGGCAUUCAACAGCUAUGUGGUCCGAUUGCUUUUAAAAAUUAAAAUACUGGAUGGAGAAAAUCUGGUUGUGACUUGUCCUCAUCAGAACGCUGUUUGGUUCCUGCAUUUGUAAAAAAGGUCACUAAUCCAUAUGAUGGACAGCUGAGAUGUGGAAAGACUCAGGGGCUGAGAUUAUGAAUCACUAUUCUUUUUGGAAUAGCAAACAGAAGGCCAAACUAUUUGCAAUUCAAUGGGUUUGAGAAGAUCAGCAGAGUUUCAUUGAUUUGGUAGCAGACAAAUUCUUGUACCAUUGUCAAAUAUAUUUGCAAUUUUGAAUUGAUUCAUUUAUAAAAGAACAAAGGCUACAUUUUUCAUGUAGUUGAAUGCUUGUGCAGUGUCAAUCUGCAUGACUUGUCGUUGUGGCUGCUGAUCAAUAUGCAGUUGCAAAGGUUUUGAAGAGUUAUGAUCUUGAAUA